GCCUAGUUAGCUUAGUUGGUAGUGCGUCUGCCUUGUAAGCGCUAGGCCGCGGGUUCGAUUUCCGCCGGGGCG
RNAcentral lists this transfer RNA (72 nucleotides) under Diaphorina citri (Asian citrus psyllid). It matches the Rfam family "tRNA". From Rfam's summary of the family: Transfer RNA (tRNA) molecules are approximately 80 nucleotides in length. Their secondary structure includes four short double-helical elements and three loops (D, anti-codon, and T loops). Lineage: Eukaryota; Metazoa; Arthropoda; Insecta; Hemiptera; Psyllidae. The record is from Rfam by way of RNAcentral.